Micropterus dolomieu (smallmouth bass) is the source of this 1383-nucleotide long non-coding RNA. RefSeq lists it as uncharacterized. NCBI's taxonomy places the organism in Eukaryota, Metazoa, Chordata, Actinopteri, Centrarchiformes, Centrarchidae. The record is from RefSeq and is a predicted model, not a curated record. The transcript is spliced from 5 exons.
UAGCCUUGGCCCGUUCCAACGAUUUUUCGGUAAUUAGCCUUGACCAUUCCAACGUUGUUUCAGUAAUUAGAUUUGGCCCGUACCAACGAUGUGGGCGGAGGGGCUUCCUCAUUUCAGAAAUUACCCUUGACCUGGUAAAAGUAGUCUACAAUGCUGCGUGUCAUAUAAGAAAAUCAAAUCCGAUGUCUUUCAAUUGAAGACAUCCCAUCCAGUGUUGAGGAGCUGUAUCAGGUGUUGCGAACAAAGCUUGGUCUGAGAGGUGGAUUUAUUUUGCAAUUUGAGGAUCCUGAUUUCAAUAAUCAGCUGUGCAAACUAACCGACAUCAAAGACCUUCCUGUGGGGCGGGCAACUGUGAAAGUGUUGUUCACAUCUGAUAACAUCUCAGAUUCUACACUGGACACUUGCAGCCUCCCUUCUCUUAGUAGUGGAGAUUCUGUUGAAUGGCCUGACCCCUUCCCGAUUCCACGGUUCUCACAUGAUGUGGAGCUGCAGCUGAAAGAAGCAAAUGCUAAGGACGGAUCUGUAAUGGUGAUUCCUAAAGGUUUAAAGACUGAUAUCCUUCAUACACUGACUGACAGUAUAUCAAAGAUUAGUACUUAUCCUGAGAGGCAUCACUGUGAGAAUGUAGCCAAAGCACGUGUGGAGAAGCAUCCUAGUCUGAAGGAGCCAGGGUCUGAAAAGGGAUGGUACUCAUGGUUUCACAGCCUGAAAUUUAAGCUUGGAUCUAUCGGCAAAAGUUAAGUGAAGCAGGAUGCCCUGAGGUGGUGGUAACCAAAAGAAAAGGAGGUUUGGAGGGAAAAUGUGUAAAGAAGUCAAAGAAGGGUGAGGUCAACUACUGUCCAGAUCCACCUGAAGGACAGAGUCCUGAACUGCUGAAGAGACCCUGAUCACCAGCUGGUAGAAGACCUGAUGGUUGCUACGUUUUCCCAGUGUAGAAAAGAGCUCUGUUCCAUGAGAGACAGAUCAGGGCAGAGUUCAAGAGAAUCGUCACCAAAGACCUUCUGGAAUCUUCCUCGACGGACUUGAUGGCCUGGUCCCAAGACUGCUGUAGGUGUACAAAGCAGCAACCAAGACUGGAAAGAAGCAAUCACUCAAAGAAAUUUUGGACUGCCCUCAGUAAGAUGAUACAAAUGAGAGGAGAAGGACUGCUGAUUUGCUUGGUCUGCCACACUACAUAUCAGGCAAGAUCCAUCAACUGCCGUCAGGAUGUGUGAUGCUCACACAGAGACUCUGGAUGAAGCCAUGAAGGGGAUGCAACUAGGCCUGCUGAUAGGCUAUGAAGGUGCUGAACGGGAGGCCUUUCCACGGGAGGUCUUCGAGAUAGCUGUUGUGGUUGAGGAGACCGUUGUGCUUCAUAACAUUAAAGAUGUGGCAUGCAGCUUU